This 2856-nucleotide ribosomal RNA is filed under the name Citrobacter freundii. RNAcentral's name for it is "partial 23S ribosomal RNA". It matches the Rfam family "Bacterial large subunit ribosomal RNA". The record is from RNAcentral. Lineage: Bacteria; Pseudomonadati; Pseudomonadota; Gammaproteobacteria; Enterobacterales; Enterobacteriaceae.
GGUUAAGCGACUAAGCGUACACGGUGGAUGCCCUGGCAGUCAGAGGCGAUGAAGGACGUGCUAAUCUGCGAUAAGCGUCGGUAAGGUGAUAUGAACCGUUAUAACCGGCGAUUUCCGAAUGGGGAAACCCAGUGUGAUUCGUCACACUAUCAUUACGUGAAUACAUAGCGUAAUGAAGCGAACCGGGGGAACUGAAACAUCUAAGUACCCCGAGGAAAAGAAAUCAACCGAGAUUCCCCCAGUAGCGGCGAGCGAACGGGGAGCAGCCCAGAGUCUGAAUCAGCUUGUGUGUUAGUGGAACGGUCUGGAAAGUCCGACGGUACAGGGUGAUAGUCCCGUACACCAAAAUGCACAGGUUGUGAACUCGAAGAGUAGGGCGGGACACGUGGUAUCCUGUCUGAAUAUGGGGGGACCAUCCUCCAAGGCUAAAUACUCCUGACUGACCGAUAGUGAACCAGUACCGUGAGGGAAAGGCGAAAAGAACCCCGGCGAGGGGAGUGAAAAAGAACCUGAAACCGUGUACGUACAAGCAGUGGGAGCAUCCUUUUGGGUGUGACUGCGUACCUUUUGUAUAAUGGGUCAGCGACUUAUAUUCUGUAGCAAGGUUAACCGUAUAGGGGAGCCGAAGGGAAACCGAGUCUUAACUGGGCGUUAAGUUGCAGGGUAUAGACCCGAAACCCGGUGAUCUAGCCAUGGGCAGGUUGAAGGUUGGGUAACACUAACUGGAGGACCGAACCGACUAAUGUUGAAAAAUUAGCGGAUGACUUGUGGCUGGGGGUGAAAGGCCAAUCAAACCGGGAGAUAGCUGGUUCUCCCCGAAAGCUAUUUAGGUAGCGCCUCGUGAAUUCAUCUUCGGGGGUAGAGCACUGUUUCGGCUAGGGGGUCAUCCCGACUUACCAACCCGAUGCAAACUGCGAAUACCGAAGAAUGUUAUCACGGGAGACACACGGCGGGUGCUAACGUCCGUCGUGAAGAGGGAAACAACCCAGACCGCCAGCUAAGGUCCCAAAGUCAUGGUUAAGUGGGAAACGAUGUGGGAAGGCACAGACAGCCAGGAUGUUGGCUUAGAAGCAGCCAUCAUUUAAAGAAAGCGUAAUAGCUCACUGGUCGAGUCGGCCUGCGCGGAAGAUGUAACGGGGCUAAACCAUGCACCGAAGCUGCGGCAGCGACACUAUGUGUUGUUGGGUAGGGGAGCGUUCUGUAAGCCGUUGAAGGUGUAUCGUGAGGUAUGCUGGAGGUAUCAGAAGUGCGAAUGCUGACAUAAGUAACGAUAAUGCGGGUGAAAAACCCGCACGCCGGAAGACCAAGGGUUCCUGUCCAACGUUAAUCGGGGCAGGGUGAGUCGACCCCUAAGGCGAGGCCGAAAGGCGUAGUCGAUGGGAAACAGGUUAAUAUUCCUGUACUUGGUGUUACUGCGAAGGGGGGACGGAGAAGGCUAUGUUAGCCGGGCGACGGUUGUCCCGGUUUAAGCAUGUAGGCGGAGGUUCCAGGUAAAUCCGGUACCUUUUUAACGCUGAGGUGUGAUGACGAGGCACUACGGUGCUGAAGUAACAAAUGCCCUGCUUCCAGGAAAAGCCUCUAAGCAUCAGGUAACACGAAAUCGUACCCCAAACCGACACAGGUGGUCAGGUAGAGAAUACCAAGGCGCUUGAGAGAACUCGGGUGAAGGAACUAGGCAAAAUGGUGCCGUAACUUCGGGAGAAGGCACGCUGAUAUGUAGGUGAAGUGAUUUACUCAUGGAGCUGAAAUCAGUCGAAGAUACCAGCUGGCUGCAACUGUUUAUUAAAAACACAGCACUGUGCAAACACGAAAGUGGACGUAUACGGUGUGACGCCUGCCCGGUGCCGGAAGGUUAAUUGAUGGGGUUAUCCGUAAGGAGAAGCUCUUGAUCGAAGCCCCGGUAAACGGCGGCCGUAACUAUAACGGUCCUAAGGUAGCGAAAUUCCUUGUCGGGUAAGUUCCGACCUGCACGAAUGGCGUAAUGAUGGCCAGGCUGUCUCCACCCGAGACUCAGUGAAAUUGAACUCGCUGUGAAGAUGCAGUGUACCCGCGGCAAGACGGAAAGACCCCGUGAACCUUUACUAUAGCUUGACACUGAACACUGGUCCUUGAUGUGUAGGAUAGGUGGGAGGCUUUGAAGUGUGGACGCCAGUCUGCAUGGAGCCAUCCUUGAAAUACCACCCUUUAAUGGCUGGUGUUCUAACGUGGACCCGUAAUCCGGGUUGCGGACAGUGUCUGGUGGGUAGUUUGACUGGGGCGGUCUCCUCCUAAAGAGUAACGGAGGAGCACGAAGGUUAGCUAAUCCUGGUCGGACAUCAGGAGGUUAGUGCAAAGGCAUAAGCUAGCUUGACUGCGAGAGUGACGGCUCGAGCAGGUGCGAAAGCAGGUCUUAGUGAUCCGGUGGUUCUGAAUGGAAGGGCCAUCGCUCAACGGAUAAAAGGUACUCCGGGGAUAACAGGCUGAUACCGCCCAAGAGUUCAUAUCGACGGCGGUGUUUGGCACCUCGAUGUCGGCUCAUCACAUCCUGGGGCUGAAGUAGGUCCCAAGGGUAUGGCUGUUCGCCAUUUAAAGUGGUACGCGAGCUGGGUUUAGAACGUCGUGAGACAGUUCGGUCCCUAUCUGCCGUGGGCGCUGGAGAAUUGAGGGGGGCUGCUCCUAGUACGAGAGGACCGGAGUGGACGCAUCACUGGUGUUCGGGUUGUCAUGCCAAUGGCAUUGCCCGGUAGCUAAAUGCGGAAGAGAUAAGUGCUGAAAGCAUCUAAGCACGAAACUUGCCCCGAGAUGAGUUCUCCCUGAGACUUUAAGUCUCCUGAAGGAACGUUGAAGACGACGACGUUGAUAGGUCGGGUGUGUAAG